UGAGCUUGAUCCUUAGAGGGUUCUUUGUGU
This 30-nucleotide non-coding RNA is filed under the name Rattus norvegicus (Norway rat). The record is from RNAcentral. Lineage: Eukaryota; Metazoa; Chordata; Mammalia; Rodentia; Muridae.